UACGGAGGGUGCAAGCGUUAUCCGGAAUCACUGGGCUUAAAGGGCGCGUAGGCGGCUCGUUAAGUCUGAUGUGAAAGCCCUGGGCUCAACCUGGGAAUGGCAUUGGAUACUGGCGACCUAGAGUGCGGUAGAGGGGUGUGGAAUUCCCGGUGUAGCAGUGAAAUGCGUAGAUAUCGGGAGGAACAUCUGUGGCGAAGGCGACACCCUGGACCAGCACUGACACUGAGGCACGAAAGCGUGGGGAGCAAACAGG
Molecule: ribosomal RNA, 253 nt
Filed under: uncultured bacterium
Lineage: Bacteria
Description: partial 16S ribosomal RNA
Rfam family: Bacterial small subunit ribosomal RNA
Source: RNAcentral